Molecule: transfer RNA, 61 nt
Filed under: Stegodyphus mimosarum
Lineage: Eukaryota; Metazoa; Arthropoda; Arachnida; Araneae; Eresidae
Rfam family: tRNA
About the family: Transfer RNA (tRNA) molecules are approximately 80 nucleotides in length.
Source: Rfam by way of RNAcentral
UAUGGUAUAGUGGUUAGUGCAUUGCGUUGUUGCCGCAAUAACCCAGGUUCGGAUCCUGGUA